This 301-nucleotide ribosomal RNA is filed under the name Chrysotila carterae. RNAcentral describes it as "partial Bacterial small subunit ribosomal RNA". It matches the Rfam family "Bacterial small subunit ribosomal RNA", at positions 332 to 644 of the family's 1533-position model. The record is from RNAcentral. Lineage: Eukaryota; Haptophyta; Isochrysidales; Isochrysidaceae.
CAGACUCCUACGGGAGGCAGCAGUGGGGAAUAUUGCACAAUGGGCGCAAGCCUGAUGCAGCGACGCCGCGUGGGGGAUGACGGCCUUCGGGUUGUAAACUCCUUUCGCUAGGGACGAAGCUUUUUGUGACGGUACCUAGAUAAGAAGCACCGGCUAACUACGUGCCAGCAGCCGCGGUAAUACGUAGGGCGCAAGCGUUGUCCGGAAUUAUUGGGCGUAAAGAGCUCGUAGGCGGUUUGUCGCGUCUGCUGUGAAAACCUAAGGCUCAACCUUGGGCUUGCAGUGGGUACGGGCAGACUAG